CGGGUGAGUAAUGCUUGGGAACUUGCCUUUGGGUGGGGGAUAACAGUUGGAAACGACUGCUAAUACCGCAUAAUGUCUACGGACCAAAGGGGGCUUCGGCUCCCGCCUUGAGAGAGGCCCAAGUGAGAUUAGCUAGUUGGUGGGGUAAAGGCCUACCAAGGCAACGAUCUCUAGCUGUUCUGAGAGGAAGAUCAGCCACACUGGGACUGAGACACGGCCCAGACUCCUACGGGAGGCAGCAGUGGGGAAUAUUGCACAAUGGGGGAAACCCUGAUGCAGCCAUGCCGCGUGUGUGAAGAAGGCCUUCGGGUUGUAAAGCACUUUCAGUUGUGAGGAAAGGUUGGUAGUUAAUACCUGCCAGCUGUGACGUUAACAACAGAAGAAGCACCGGCUAACUCCGUGCCAGCAGCCGCGGUAAUACGGAGGGUGCGAGCGUUAAUCGGAAUUACUGGGCGUAAAGCGCACGCAGGCGGCUUGUUAAGCUAGAGGUGAAAGCCCCGCGCUCAACGUGGGAACUGCCUUUAGAACUGGCAGGCUAGAGUCUUGGAGA
This 550-nucleotide ribosomal RNA is filed under the name uncultured bacterium. Its description in RNAcentral is "bacterial SSU rRNA". It matches the Rfam family "Bacterial small subunit ribosomal RNA", at positions 103 to 655 of the family's 1533-position model. The record is from RNAcentral.